CAGUAGCGUAUAUUAAAGUUAGUUGCAGUUAAAAAGACUCGUAGUUGGAUUUCUUGACGUUCGAAACACCUGACCCUCCCUCGCUAGAGGUGUGUGUGCCGGAGUCGUUUGUAUCAUCCUUUACAGUGAUCGGUUCUUACCCUUAACCGGGUCGGAACUGUUAACUGGAUCUUUUACUUUGAAGAAAUUGGAGUGUUUAAAGCAGGCUUACGCCAGAACAUAUUAGCAUGGAAUAAUAAUUUAGGACUUUUGUUCUAUUUUGUUGGUUUCUAGGACGAAAGUAAUGAUUGAUAGGGAUAGUUGGGGGUGCUAGUAUUCGGCGGCCAGAGGUGAAAUUCUUUGAUCCGCUGAAGACUAACUUAUGCGAAAGCAUUCACCAAGGAUGUCUUCUUUAAUCAAGAACGAAAGUUGGGGGAUCGAAGACGAUUAGAUACCGU
RNAcentral lists this ribosomal RNA (437 nucleotides) under uncultured eukaryote. RNAcentral's name for it is "bacterial SSU rRNA". It matches the Rfam family "Eukaryotic small subunit ribosomal RNA", at positions 592 to 1018 of the family's 1831-position model. The record is from RNAcentral.